This is an RNA transcript of Ochotona princeps (American pika), 2961 nucleotides long. It is a transcript of the gene named 1-aminocyclopropane-1-carboxylate synthase homolog (inactive), with no coding region annotated. The record is from RefSeq and is a predicted model, not a curated record. Lineage: Eukaryota; Metazoa; Chordata; Mammalia; Lagomorpha; Ochotonidae. The transcript has 16 exons.
UGGUUCCGGGGCCCUCCUGGGCUCAGCCGCGCGUCCAGCACUGGGGAGCAGCCUCCAGGCCUCGGAUCGCGCGGGAGCGGAGCGGUGUCCGGCGCUGCCGCCCAACGGGGGCGGUCCCCAAGCUGGCCGAGAAGCAGACAGCCGGGCCUUCCCUCCGUGCGCUUUACGAAAGCGUCUCAGCUCUUCCGUCAGGACCCGAGCACGCAUUCCUCCCGGAAUCCGGGAGCCGCCUCUCCCGUGGCGUUCUCCGUCCUGCCGGGGAGGCCCUGUCGGUGUUUAAUGCCCGCCAGCGGUGCCGCUUUGCAGAAUCCCGAGGCCGAUCUCCGACGUCUGACCAGGCGCAGCCGUGUGGCUGUGCGCUCCCGGUGGACACCUGGAGCUGGGAGCGGUUUUCUCCCCGUCCCAGGCCAUACGCAGGCCUCCUCUGCCAGCCCCGCUGCCACUCCAAAGACCCGGGCUGUUGACCGAGAUGUCUUCCCUUUCUUCAAAGGAGUCCAAGGCUCCUGCCACCUGUCUGGGUCCAACCUCCACGCAAGACCCAUGCAGUGGCGACAGGGAUGAUCUGGAAAGCGAAUGCUCCAGGACACCACAUCAGAAGCUGCUGGGGGCCUAUGCGGUGGGCGAUCCCACUGCCAUGGUCUCCUGUGACAGCCCCUUCUUGUCCUCUCGAGGCAAAGUCAUUAAGUGGUUCUGGGACUCCGCUGAGGAAGGUUACAGGACCUACCGCAUGGAUGCAUACGAUGAGGACAAGAACCCCAACGGCAUCAUUAACUUGGGCACCAGUGAGAACAAGCUCUGCUUUGACCUAUUGUCCAGGCGGCUGACUCAGAGUGACAUGCUGCGGGUGGAGCCGGCACUGCUGCAAUAUGCUGACUGGAGGGGACACCUGUUCCUCCGGGAGGAAGUGGCCAAGUUCCUGUCUUUCUAUUGCAAGAGUCCGGUACCCCUCAAACCAGAGAAUGUGGUCGUUCUGAAUGGUUGUGCCUCUCUCUUCUCUGCCAUGGCCACGGUGCUGUGUGAAGUAGGGGAAGCAUUCCUGAUCCCCGCCCCUUACUACGGAGCCAUCACCCAGCACGUCUAUCUGAGUGGUAACGUCCGACUGGUCUGUGUCUACCUGGACAGUGAGGUCACUGGGCCAGGCACCCGCCCUUUCCAGCUCACAGUGGAGAAGCUAGAGGUGGCCCUGCAAGGAGCCAUUUCUGAGGGUGUGAAAGUCAAAGGCCUCAUCCUCAUCAAUCCCCAGAACCCGCUGGGUGACGUCUAUUCCCCAGCAGAGCUGCGAGAGUACCUGGAGUUUGCCAAGAGGCAUGAGCUGCACGUGAUCAUGGAUGAGGUCUACAUGUUAUCCGUGUUUGAUGAGGCAGUGGAGUACCGCAGUGUCCUGAGCCUGGAAAGCCUGCCUGACCCCCAGAGGACACAUGUGAUGUGGGCUACCAGCAAGGACUUUGGGAUGUCUGGGCUUCGCUUCGGCACGCUCUACACAGAAAACCAGGACGUGGCCACUGCUGUGGCCUCCCUCUGCCGCCAUUAUUGCCUUAGCGGCAUGGUCCAGCACCAGGUGGCACAGCUGCUCCGGGACCACGACUGGAUCAGCCAAGUAUAUGUGCCAGAAAACCAUGCCCGGCUCAAGGCUGCCCACGCCUACAUCUCUGAGGAGCUCCGUGCUCUGGGGGUCCCUUUUCUGAACCGUGGGGCCGGCCUCUUCAUCUGGAUCAACUUGCAGAAGUACCUGCCGCAGGCCACCUUCGAAGAAGAAAGGUUGCUGGGUCGCUGCUUUUUGGACAACAAGGUGCUGCUGUCCCCCGGUAACGCUUUCCAGUGUAAAGAGCCAGGCUGGUUCCGCAUUGUGUUCUCCGACAAGGCCCACCGGCUCCGUCUGGGGAUGCAGAGGGUCCGGCAGGUGCUUGAAGGCAGAUCCCCAGUGGCAAAAGACCCACUUCCAUCCCCACCACCUCCAUCCUGGACCGAGGAACCCAGAGACCAGCACAGGUGACCUGGUCCCUGCCUCCUAAGCAGCCACUGCAUCUGACCCGGGACCUGGUGUGGCUGCAGGUGACUGGCUUCCCAGGAAGUUGUUCAGCUCAGUUUUACCUGUGGGGACCUGAGUCUCAAAGAGAUGGCAUGAUGCCAUCUAUGACAGCCACACAGAAGCAUCUCAGAACUGGGAUUCAAAGUCAGCUGCUCUUGCCACACUCCCCCCACCAGCUCCAGCAGCCUCCCACUACCUCCAGUCCUGAGAACCAGCUCUGCGUUGUCCCACCAUAAUCUUCCAUCUCAUAAAUAUUCAUUUUGUUUGAAAGAGAGACAGAGAUCUUCCAUCCCCUCGUUUACUCCCCAAAAUGCUCACAGCAGCCAGGGCUGGGCCAGGCUGACCCAGGAGCCUGGAGCUCAAGUCCACUCUCCCCUGUGGGUGGCAGGGGUUGAAGUACUUGAGCCGUCAUCAGCUGUCUCCCAGGGUGUAUAGCAGCAGGAAGCUGGAAUCAGAUGUGAACCCACGCACUAGACUGAUGUGGGUAUCCAACGUGUUAGCUUAACCACUGUACCAAGUGCCCACUUGACCUUUAGUUGUUUCGAAUGUCAUUGGUUAUAGGGAACACUACCUUUCUAUUCCUGAUUCUGAAAAAUGCUGGUGUCAGGAUUAGUUGUGUUGCAAUGGGUUAAGUCUGCACCCUGUUAUCCCAGCAUUCAUGUGAACAUUGAUUUGAGUCCCACCUGCUCUGCUUCUGAUCCAACUCCCUACUAAUAUGCCCAAGUGAGAAGCAGAGGAUGGCACAAGUGUUUAGGCUGCAUAUGGGAAACCCUGAAGGAGCUCCUGAGCUGCUGGCUUUAGCCUAGCCCAACCUUGGCUGUUAUGGCCAUUUGGGGAAUGAUCCAGCGGGUGGAACAUCAACUCUCCCUCUUUAACUCUGCAUUGCAGAUAAUAAAUAACUUUUUAAAAAGACGUAUUUGUUUUAAUUUAAA